GCUCAGGAAAAACGCAAGAGACGUGCCUAACACAUGCAAAUUAAAUAGUUAUAACUAACUAUAGUGAAUUGGUGAGUAAUAUAUGAAAAUUUAAUUUUAGAUUAGAAGUAUACCUAGUAACCUAGGGUUAAUCUCUGAUUAGCGCAUAUGUGCUUUCAAAAGUUAAUACUGUCUAAAAAAAAGUUCAUACCUGAUUAGCUAAUUAGUAAGGUAAAAACUUAUUAAGGCGAAGAUCAGUAGCUGCCCUGAGAGGGGUAUCAGCCACAUUGGGAUUGAAAUACAGCCCAAACUCCUACGGGAGGCUGCAGUGGGGAAUCUUCUGCAAUGAGCGCAAGCUUGACAGAGCAUCGUCACGUGGAGGAAGACAGCUUAUUAUAGUUGUAAACUUCUUUUACUUAAAAGUGAAAACUGACACUUAAGUAAAUAAAGUAUCGGCAAACUCCGUGCCAGCAGCCGCGGUAAAACGGGGGAUACAAGCGUUAUCCGGAAUUACUGGGCGUAAAGCGUAUGUA
RNAcentral lists this ribosomal RNA (512 nucleotides) under Eimeria trichosuri. RNAcentral's name for it is "bacterial SSU rRNA". It matches the Rfam family "Bacterial small subunit ribosomal RNA", at positions 22 to 573 of the family's 1533-position model. The record is from RNAcentral. Lineage: Eukaryota; Apicomplexa; Conoidasida; Eucoccidiorida; Eimeriidae.